This 10419-nucleotide long non-coding RNA is filed under the name Cricetulus griseus (Chinese hamster). RNAcentral's name for it is "lncRNA (ENSCGRG00015043282.1)". The stretch from base 2430 to 2500 matches the Rfam family "Small nucleolar RNA SNORD113/SNORD114 family". Lineage: Eukaryota; Metazoa; Chordata; Mammalia; Rodentia; Cricetidae. The record is from RNAcentral.
UGUGCCCUUAAAUUUGAACUCAAAUUUCAGUUGAUUACUUAAAGAUUAUAGACCCUGAGGCAGUUAGGAGCAAGUUUUGUUAUUUUGGUGGAUGUGCUCAUGCCACUGUGCAUGUGUGGAGGUCUGAGGACAGCUAUUGGGAGUUGGUUAUCUCCUUUUCGUGGUGGCAUGUGGUAAUAGAAUUCAGGCCUUGUGGCUUUCUCAGCAAGUGCUUUUAUCCACUGAGUAGCCCAAAGAUCUGAUUAAUUUUGUCUCAUUAAUGAUUAAUAAAAGCCCUCCAUCUUUCACUGACCUAAGUUGUGUUGAAUUGUAUUAACUGCAAAUUUUAGUUUAUUUUUGUUGCUGGUCCCACAGUAAUCCUCUUAUUUUAUUCAUAUAUUAGUCAUUGAUGCCUUUGACAUAAGUUAGCAAUAAACCACCUACGCUAAGGAUAUGGAAUUUAGAAGUACCAAAGUCCCUAAGCCCCUUCACCACGCAGGUGGACAUCAACAUCUCCAUCUUUACUGAGCAAUUACAUCAGCUGUGGCAUUCUAACUCUGUGAAGUACAACACACUCCAUAAAGAAUGGAAGCUGUUUUUGCUCUGUGAAGUACAACGCACACUUUGCGAAGAAUGGAAGCCACAGGCUUAAAUCUUAAUAGGCUGACUCAUGAGGGAUUUUGUGACUAACCCAAACUUGGUUGCUAUUACAUUCCCAUUAUUGACUCCAAAAUAACUCUACUUCUUACGUACUGACUUAUGUACGCUUUAAUUUUUAAUAUAACAGAAACUAAAAUUCACCACCCAGCAGAAGAGAAAUAAAUGGAACCAUUAAGACUGUCUGUGUACUGCUACCCACGGACACCUUAACCUCAUUUAUCUUUUUCAAGGGACCUCAUUGUGCAUUGCAGAGGGUCUACCCUGAAACAGUGAUCCAAGCAGCCCCCUACUUCACACAUUAACUGACUGGCUUGCUAUCUUUAUUCUGUGGGUAUAAAUACUUAUCUAUGAAUAAAAUAAAAGAAAGAUUAUAGGACCAGCAGAGGGGAUUGGCCAGAGUUUAUGGUUAUUAUGAUCCAGCAUAGCCUAAGUCUGUUAAUCAUGGAGGGCUUUUAUUUCUUCUCAGAAUUUUUCAGUAUUAAGAUUUGUUUGGUGUCAUUGGCAAUUUACACAUUUCAUCAAUGGUAAAUGUCUGGGCCAAGAAUUCACUGAGGUGGGAACAUGGAGAAUGAGUGGAGAAGUCAGUGCUAAUGUCUUCACCAUGACUGGAGCAUGGUUUGUGGCUGGACAGGAUUAGCUCCCCUAAUCUGCAAAAUCAGACUGUGUUCUUAAGCCCAAAACUUUCUGAGCAUUGACUUGGUACAUGUGGAAGAUUCCACACUUGUCCUCAUGAUGGUUACAGUCAAAAUGCCGGGGCACUGAAAUAUAGUAAAAAAUUCCUGCUGGUCCCAGGUUUAAGGCGACGGGGGGGGGGGACAAAUGAAUUUUAUUUCUUUUUGGGUAAUAUUGUUAAGACAUUUCAUUGUGAUUGUGAAAAUAUAUCAAAAGUUGAAAAAAAAUCCCAGAUUUAAAACACUUGAGAAGCCAACCAUGUCUGAAACAGGGUGCUCAAUUGUGGUUGUUGAGAUCUCUAACUGUGCAAUAAGUUACCCAGUGACUUCAUGGCUCAAAGCAUGGAGCACCUUAGUUUCCAUGGUUUCCAUGAGGCCAGAGUUCAGGGGUUUGUGUUCAGAGUCCUGUCAAUUUACAGAGACAUGUUAGGCACAAUAGUGGCUUGACUGAGUGCAGGUGUGUUUUUGUGCGUGCAGGUGUGUUUGUGUGUGUGUGUGUGUGUGUGUGUGUGUGUGUGUGUGUGUGUGAUCAUUUUGCAAGGCUCAUGUCCAUGGCUGGCUGCUAAUGGGGACCAAUCUUUUUCUCCAUGUGAAAAUUUGCUCAGUGAGAGUCCUUAGAACAUGCCAUCUAAUUUCCCUAAAGCAAUCAUUACGGGAAGAGUCUGGUAGAUCUUAGUGUAUCAUAGGACCUAUUUCCCUAAGGCCCAAACCACCACUUCCAUAGUGUUCUACUGGCCACAUAGACAACCAUGAGCCAACAUGUGAACACAUAAUACAAGGCUGUGUGCCAUAGGCGUGGAGUCCACUGGCCGUCAUCUUGGAGGUUGUCUACCACAUUGACCGUCCUUAAAAUUCAGACAAAUUUAAUUAAAGAAGAGCAAGGAAAGUUCACAAGUGGGAUUGACAUGAAGUGAGGAGCUGAGUGAUCAGAUGUCCUUACAACUGCCAUCAGAGUGUCUCAGUCCCCUAGAACAUAAGCUGUCAGGCGUGUCUCAGUCAAACGUCAGGAGUUGAUCGUCAGGUUCACAUUUCAUGUUUAUUGACUUUAUUGGCAGUAAUGACUCAACGAGUGAGCUGACUAACAAAGGUAGGACUAACUAAACCAAAGACAACCAUGCCCCAACCAAUGAUGGGAAUUCUUGGGUGUCUGAAUCAAUGAUUUUUAUUAAGCCUGUAACUCUGAGGUCCAUCAUAAGAGACUUCAUCAGAGGCCAAUGAAAUGACUUAGUGGGUUAAUGCGCUUGCUGCCAAGCCUGAGCACCUGAGUUCAAUCCCCCAGACCCACAUGGUGGAAGGAGAGAACCGUUCCCGAGGAUGUCUUCUGAUCUCCUCAUGUGUGCUAUGGCAUGUGCAUGCACACACAGACAAAGACACACACACACACACACACACACACACACACACACACACACACUGCAAAGAUACACAAAGACACAUAGACACAUACCUGGAGACAAAGGCACACAAACUUAGACACACAAAGGCAAAGACACACACACAUACACAAACACACACACACAGACAAAUAUACACACAGAUAGACAAAGACAAGCACACACAAAGACAUACAUAUAUACAUAGAGACAAAGACACACACAGAGAGAAUGACAAAGACACACAGAAAGACAGAGGACAUACACAUACAGACAGACAAAAACAUACAAUAUACACAGACAAAGACACACACACACUCACAGAGACAAAGACACACAGCACACACACAGACAAAGACACAUACAGAAAAAAACACACUCACAAAUACAGACACAGACAUACAACACAUAUACACAGAGGUAGACAAAGACAUACAAUACACACACACAGAGGGACAAAGACACACACACAGACAAAGACCCACAUACACAGAGACAAAGACACACACACACACACACACACACACACACUGACAAAGAUACACAAAGACACACAGACACAUACCUGGAGACAAAGACACACACACUGAGACACACAAAGGCAAAGACACAUACACAAACACACACACACACAGACAAAUAUACACACAGAUAGACAAAGAAAAGCACACACAAACACACACAUAUAUACACAGAGACAAAGAUACACACAGAGAGAAUGACAAAGACACACAGAGAGACAGAGAAGGGCAUACACAUGCAUACAGACAAAAAUACACAACACACAAGGACAAAGACACACACACACACUCACAGAGACAGAUAAAGACACCAGCACACACACAAAGACACAUACAGAAAAAAAACACACACUCACAAAUACAGACAAAGACAUACAACACACAUGCACAGAGGCAGACAAAGACACUCAACACACACACAGAAAAAGACACACACACACAGACAAAGACCCACAUACAUAGAGACAAAGUCAAACACACGCAGAGAUAAAGACACACACACACCGACAAAUAUACAUAUUUGUGUGUAUACACACACACACACACACACACUAUAUAUAUAUAUAUAUAUAUAUAUAUAUAUAUAUAUAUACAGAGACAAAGACACACAGAGAGACAGAGAAGGACAUACACAUACAGAAAGACAAAAACACACAAUACACACAAAGGCACACACGCACACACAGACAAAGACACACAGCGCACACACAGACAAAGACACAUACAGAAAAAAACACCCACUCACAAAUACAGACAAAGACAACACACAUACACAUAGGCAGACAAAGACACACAAUACACACACACACACACACAGAGACAAAGACACACACACAGACAAAGACCCACAUACACAGAGACAAAGUCAAACACACACAGAGACAAAGACACACACACACAAAGACAAAGAACUAAGACACACAUAGACAAAGAUACACACAGACAAUUACACAUACACACAUAAAGAUGCACAAAGACAAAAUACACACAAAGACAAACAUGCAGACAAAGACACAUACACACAUACACAGAGACAGAUAAAUGACAUACACAGAGAAAAAGACAACCGACCAUGGACAAAGUCACAGGGCAACGACAUACACACAGAAAUAGACAAAGACAAACACACACACACACACACACACACACACACACAAACUCAAACACACACAAAGACACAGACACACAGACAAAGACAAACACACACAGACAAACACAUACACACAUACACAGAGACAAAGACACACACAAACACACACACAAAGACAUACUCACACAUAUACAGAGACAAAGACACACCCAUCCAAAGACACAUAUACACAUACACAAAGACACAUACACACAUAUACAGAGACAAAGACACACAUACUGAGAUAAAGACAAACACACACAAAGACAUACACACACAAUCAUAAAGACACAAACACAUACAGACAAGGGCACACACACACAAAGAUAGACACACAGAGACAAAGACACACAUACACAGAGAUAAAGACAAACACAGACAUACUAGAAAGACAAACACACAAAGACACACAUACAGAGAUCGACAAAGAAACACAGAGAGACAGACAAAGACAUACACAUAUAGACAGACAAAAACACACAACACACGCACAAAGACACAGUACACACACCCAGAGACAGACAAAGACACACAGCACACAGACACAGACACACAAUACACAGACAAAGACACACACAGGACAAAGACACAGACACAGACAUACACAAAGACAAGACAAACACACACAGACAAAGAAACACAACACACACAAAGAUACACACAAAGGCACACACAGACAAAUAUACGCACACUGAUGAAGACACACACACAUCAAGGACCCACACAACAAAGACACAAUACACACAAAGACACGAACACACAAAGAUACACAUAAAGACAUGACAAAGCCACACACACACACACACACACACACACACACACACACACACACACACCAAACAAAUAUGUAGAAAGAAUAGACACUUGUUUAGGGAAUUAUUAGAAAUUAGGAACAUUUCAAAUUUUGUUUCUUAACUAUUUAGUUUCAUAAGUCUCUGGUAUUUCACUGUAAGUAAAUUAAUACGGCGAGGCAAAUAUUUAAAUACAUAAAUAUUUAAAUGACAAAGGAGAAAAGGCAGCUAUUUGUGGCCUCCUUAUGAAAUUGGAGAAUUUAUGCACUAUUGUGAAUACAUUUGAAGCAAUCAAUUCCAACAUAAAUUUAUUAAAUCUGAUUGAUAGUCCUUCACCCAGCCCUGAGAAACUGAUGGCAUUGUUCUUCAUCAUUAAGGACAUAGUGGCUGGUGAAUUGAUGCUUGUUUAUUGGACUGUAGUUAAAAUACCAGAAAGUUCACUAAAUAGGAACCAGCACUGCUCUAAUGAGCACAGAUUUGCUAAGGUUCAGGAAGGCUAACCAUCCCUGUGACAUUGAUGUUCACCGUGGGAAGAGGGAGCCAAGGGUUUUCUGUUAAUAACGUCCUGCUUGUUAUUGUUGGGACUUACUGUAGGUUGAUCUUUGUUGUUCUUUGUGAGUGAGUAAAUGAUGGUUUAGAUGAAUGAAGAAAGCAUUCAAACCUAGGCCAGUGAUCUUGGAGAAUGUCAGUAAAAAUUUUAUUAAACUCCAGAAUGUCAAGGACCACUGGGAAGAUAAAAUGACUACUGUGAGUGGAGGAAGAGUCAGUUUUUUUUUUUUAUUAUGAUCCUGUCAUUCAAGCUGGGUGGUAGUGGCUCACACCUUUCAGGGCUACACAGUCAUUUGUAUGCAGAUGUUUUUGUCCUAUGUUGGUAACUGGUCUUGGAUAGUACCUUUAGAGAAGUGACACCCAUUCAUUGGCAUAAAAUAAUAAUUAAAUGUCCACAUAAUUGCCAGAUGAAUACAGACCCAUGAUAAGAAUAUUAACCCAGCUGGGCGGUGGUGGCGCUCGCCUGUAAUCCCAGCACUUGGGAGGCUGAGGCAGGUGGAUCUCUGUAAGUUCAAGGCCAGCCUGGUCUCCAGAGCGAGUGCCAGGACAGCUAAGGCACAGAGAAACCCUGUCUCGAACCCCCUUCCCCCCCCAAAACAAAUGUUAAUUCAAAACCCUAACUUUUAUUGAUUUUCUUAAUAAAAAUGGAAAAGAACUCAGCCUGCCAUUAUUGAGGGCACUGGCUAUAGAGUCAGAAGAAAAUAUUUUUUAUAGCCCGGGGCUGUUACAUUGUAGAUUCCCAUAUUCUCAAAAUGAAGGAAUUAUUUUAGUCCUGAAUUUAUAUUUUUAAAAGUCAGCAGCACCGGGCUCAUCAGGAACUCAUGUCAUCAUAUGACAGCUCUGACACGUGCUUUCUUUCCCCCCACCGUGUCAAAGAUUUUAUCAUGUUCUAAUCAUGUUGACCACCUCUGUGCCUCCAAACUAAGGAGCAUGAAGCCCUAGGUAAGCAACCAUCCAUGUUGAUGUACUGGAAUUGUGUGGGCUUCCUUUACAGGAGCCAGCUACACAAAUAAGUAAAUUUUUAAAUAAGACCUGAAAUUAAAGAGUGCCAACCAUGGGCCUGCAAUUGGGAUAUCUGAUUAACAACCAAAAAAAUUAUGCCUAAUUCAACUAAACUCACUAAGGACCAUUCUUCCAGAGAUGGUGGACAUUCCACAGAUUUAACUGCCCUGUAAGGCAUCAACCAUGGUUGUUUCUUAGAGCCCUUCACUAGCAGACAGCUUACUGUGAGUUCCUCACAGCAGAAGUACAGUGAAGGACAGCAGAUGUCAAUUCUGUCAGGUGUGUUUCAUGUUACCAAGCCUAUUAUGUGGGUUUCCAGCAGCUUUCAGGGACAGACAGACACCCAUAAUGAGACAGGACUUGACAAGAAGCCAGCCUGCUAAUUAAUCCACAUGUGUCAACUAAAGGCUCUCAAAUAAACAAUACAGGCCAUUUGAUCUACAGAAAGGCUACUGAUAAGAGAUCCAUGAAUGACCACACCAACUCAAGAAAGUUGUUAUUGAAUACAGCCAUGCCUGUAUCUGUGAUACCUGUUGGUAGAGGUGUGUGAGGCAACACCUCUGGUAAAUCAUUGGUGUAACUCUGAGGUCCAUUACUCAGUGAUACACAAACAAUGUUUUGUUUAUUAAUUAUCUUUGAGCAGAAGUGGGAAACAUUCAAUCAAUUUGUUCCUGGGAUUUUGUGAUUCAAUGAUAUGAAGCAUGCUACUCCAAGAGAACGAAUAUCUAAGUAGGAAGUAGAUACAUAAAAAGACAUGAUAUGUCAGAAAGAAGAAAGACACACCUAUUUGUAAACAGGUAGUAUAAUAAGCCAAGGAUAGCUAAUGCUUUUGCUUGCUGAAAAGCAAGGCCACUUGUGAACUGGAAGCAAAACGGGAUGCAGGAUGUAACCCUGUUUCAUUCUGAGUAUAUUAGUAGCUGUAGUUAAGAGAGUUGCUUGGGUGUUUCCAAAAAUACACUCCUGAUUAAUAGAUGUUUCUAAUUACCUUAGAACUUACUCUCAGGUGAGAUAGCGAGUGGACUCACAUGCUUACCAUAUUUAAAAUCCCAAGUUCAAUAUUAAAUCUAAAGUUGAUUAUUAUGUAGAUCCACUUGACCCAUUAAAUUCUACAUUUGUUCUAAUUCUUCUUUUCCAUUCUGUGGUGAAUGUAGGACCCCUGAUUUAAUUAUUUAAUAUGGAAUCAUUGUCCUGAGUAAGGAGCAUAGAUGAGAGUAAAGGUGAGACCAUUAGUUCAUGGUCUCUGUUUGCAAUCUUUUGUUUAUAGACCCUAGCUGAUAGAACUCAGGACAAGUAAUAGUCACACCCCUAAAUCAGGUAACACUCCCCAAGUAUGGACCAAUUGAGGGAAUGCAGUCGUAUUCACAGGGCCUGUAGUGGUGCUCUGGGUGUUGUGGCUGAGCUCAGCCUCCCCAGGAGUAGUUCUUCAGGAUGGACCAACACGUGAGCCCAUGAGUGUUUCGGAGGUGGAAGAAAGUAGCUUCUCAUUAUGUUUCCUGGAGCCACCUUUGACAUUUGGCUGAAUUAAAUAAAAGAGGACCACACAAAAACCAGAUAUGAAUUCAAUUCAAACCAGAGAUGUUGAUCAACCCACAGUGCACCUUGGAGUAACUUGUGAAAGUAGUGUGAUCUAAAUGUCUCAAUGACAAAAGAGCCCCAAUCCAAAGAUCUUGUUCUGGGGACGCUGUUCUGUUAAUUAUCAGUCAGUUGGUUAGUAAGUGAAGCAAACACCCAGCAUGGGCCAAUGAUGAGGAGCAUGGGGUUUUUAAACCCUUAUGAAAUCUGAGGACUAUUGCAAAGUGGUGUCUGCAGCCUGUAGAGACGAGUCCCCAAAGCCCGAUCUUGGUGGAUUCAUGGCACAACCCACAUUGCUGUAAUAAAAUUAACCGUGAAUAAAGAAAAAAGAAUCAAUGAAUGAAAAAUAAGAAAGAUAAUGCUGGGCAAGAUAGCACAUGCCUGCAACCCUGACUUCUAGGGGUCUCCCAAAAAACAAAACAAACAAAACCAAAACAAAAUAAAUCAGCAAAAAAAAAAAAACAAAAAAAAAAAACAAAAAGACAGGGCAGAUGUGUUGGCUCUACACGUAAAGGCAUUUGUGACCACGCCUGAUGGUCUGAAUUCCAUCCCUGAAACACUCAUGGAGAAGGACAUAUUCCUACAUGUUGUCCUCUGACCCCUACACAACACAGAUGCUCCUUCAUACACACUUUAAGUGAAUAAAUACAUUAAUAUAAAACAAAAAUAUGAAGAGAAACUAAUGGCUGUAAACUUUAAAAUUUGAAAGCAUUUAAUGCAUUGUGGCUUGUUAUUUACAUUGAGAUGAUCAGUUUAGGUGACUAGCUUUCUUAGAGGUCAUGGGAUUUGAUUAUUGGAAAAGGAGGCAAAUUGAUGUGAGGUUGCCCGUGUCCAGGAAAAGAAGAGACAUUUCUGUAACUAGUGACUAGAGGCAGAACACUUACACAGAACCACGAUGAGACGUCACACAUACCACCAUUGAUAAAAUCUAGGCAUUUUUCUUGAAAUAAACACACACUAAGUCAUUUACAAUUGCAUCUUUUCACCAGUGUCAUAGGAAAAACAUAAAUUGAUUGAUCUGAUAUAGAUAGACACACAUAUUACAGUAUAAUUAAGAAGGGACAUAUUCCUAAAUUUGUAUCUCAACCAGUAUUUUUUUUUUUUUUUGUUAAUUCAACAAUUGUGUACCAGUGGAAAAUAUUCCACCAUUGGGAUCUUUACACUAUCCACUUCUGAAAUCCACAAGAAGACACUGUGUUACUGUUCCAGUGUUGGUUUGAGGGCUGUAAACUUUAAAAUUCUGUUAGAAUCAUUAUCCCAUGAGAAAUCAAACACAUCAGUUAGUGAGUGAAGUAAACAGGGGCUGGGGAGAUAGUUAAGUCAGUCAGGUGCGUGCCUUAGAAUCACGGGAACUGAUUUCUAUCCCCAUAGCUCAUGCAAAUUAAAAAAGGUUGCGUGUGAUGGGUUAUCCCAGUGUGUCCUGGUGACCCCAGUGUUGGGAGGCUGUGGUGGGUGUGAUGGUGUGUAUGUGUGACCCCAGUGCUGGGAGGCAGAGGCAGGUGGAUCUGUAGGGCUUGCUGGCUGACCAGUGAGAGAUCUGACCUCAUCAAACAAGAUGGUUAGCUUCUGAGGACCAGCACCCAAGGUGCCUUACACAGGCGUGCUUGUGAUCAUUACAGAGAUUAUACCAUAUGGUAAAUCUCUCAUCUUCAGUUUUGCACAACGUCCAACUGAAAGGACAACUUUGCUCUUACGUAUGUUGGUAACAAACACACCAGAUGGUCCUAAUAAUUAGAGUUAUUUUUCUAUUUUAAAAAACUGCUAGGUUCAGUGGUGUUCAUUACAUUAUUUAAGAUAAAAACUCACGCAGGCUCAUAAAUAUACAGUGCUGUUCUCGCUUCUAAGCCCCAUAAGGUAAUAAAUAUAAAGGACUUCUGCCUUCCCAAGUGUUCCGACCGGAACGCAAACCAACGUUUACGGCUAAUUGAUCACCCCCAACUGUGGUUCCUCCUCAGAAGCUAAAUGACAGUAAUUCAUUUGAAUAUUUGCCUUUUAUUCCUCAGAAUGAGCGCGGCUGGUGUGGCUUCAUGAUUACCUUCUGGGGAAGAUCUUGCCUGUUUACCUCUGCAUAAGGAAGGAAGACACAGAUAACUGUUACGUCAUGAGUCAUGAAAUGUAACUGGAUCAGUGUGAGCAGAACUGGCUUUGGGACAUCAUGAAGUAUAGAUAUAG